This 397-nucleotide ribosomal RNA is filed under the name uncultured bacterium. Its description in RNAcentral is "partial 16S ribosomal RNA". It matches the Rfam family "Bacterial small subunit ribosomal RNA", at positions 523 to 918 of the family's 1533-position model. The record is from RNAcentral.
AUACGUAGGUGGCGAGCGUUGUCCGGAUUUACUGGGUGUAAAGGGCGCGUAGGCGGGAAUGCAAGUCAGGUGUGAAAUCUAUGGGCUCAACCCAUAAACUGCACUUGAAACUGCGUUUCUUGAGUGUCGGAGAGGUAGAUGGAAUUCCUAGUGUAGCGGUGAAAUGCGUAGAUAUUAGGAGGAACACCAGUGGCGAAGGCGAUCUGCUGGACGAUAACUGACGCUGAGGCGCGAAAGCGUGGGGAGCAAACAGGAUUAGAUACCCUGGUAGGCCACGCCGUAAACGAUGAAUACUAGGUGUGGGUGGGACUGACCCCAUCCGUGCCGCAGCUAACGCAAUAAGUAUUCCACCUGGGGAGUACGGCCGCAAGGCUGAAACUCAAAUGAAUUGACGGGG